RNAcentral lists this ribosomal RNA (412 nucleotides) under uncultured bacterium. Its description in RNAcentral is "bacterial SSU rRNA". It matches the Rfam family "Bacterial small subunit ribosomal RNA", at positions 11 to 429 of the family's 1533-position model. The record is from RNAcentral.
GUUUGAUCCUGGCUCAGAAUGAACGCUGGCGGCGUGCUUUACACAUGCAAGUCGAGCGAGGCGUCCCGCAAGGGAUAGUCGAGCGGCGAACGGGUGAGUAAUUCCUGGAUAACCUGCCCUGAGGUGGGGGAUAAGUAGGCUCCACUCUGGCUAAUACCGCAUGAUACCGAGAGGUCAAAGGGGGCUCGCAAGGGCUCUCGCCAUAGGAGGGGUCCGCGUACGAUUAGCUAGUUGGUAGGGUAAUGGCCUACCAAGGCGACGAUCGUUAGCCGGCCUGAGAGGGUGAUCGGCCACACUGGAACAGUUCCGGGAAUAAGACUCCUACGGGAGGCAGCAGUGGGGAAUUUUGCGCAAUGGGCUAACGCCUGACGCAGCAACGCCGCGUGGAGGAUGAAGGUCCUUGGAUUGUAAA